This is a transfer RNA of Cnuibacter physcomitrellae, 73 nucleotides long. It matches the Rfam family "tRNA". From Rfam's summary of the family: Transfer RNA (tRNA) molecules are approximately 80 nucleotides in length. Their secondary structure includes four short double-helical elements and three loops (D, anti-codon, and T loops). Lineage: Bacteria; Bacillati; Actinomycetota; Actinomycetes; Micrococcales; Microbacteriaceae. The record is from Rfam.
GGGCCUGUAGCUCAGUUGGCAGAGCAUCGGACUUUUAAUCCGCGGGUCGUGGGUUCGAGCCCCACCGGGCCCA